GAGGAACGCUGGCGGCGUGGAUUAGGCAUGCAAGUCGAACGGUAUCAUCCUUUCGGGGGUGAGAGAGUGGCGAACUGGUGAGUAACACGUAGGUUAUCUACCCUCAAGACGGGGACAACCCAGGGAAACUUGGGCUAAUACCGGAUGUGAGCAACUUUUAGUUGUUUGAAAGGUGGCGUAAGCUGUCGCUUGGGGAUGAGCCUGCGUCCUAUUAGUUAGUUGGUGAGGUAACGGCUCACCUAGGCAAUGAUAGGUAGGCGGCCUUAACGGGUGGUCGCCCACACUGGGAUUGAGAUACGGCCCAGACUCCUACGGGAGGCAGCAGUCGAGAAUAGUCUACAAUGGUCGGAAGACUGAUAGUGCGACGCCGCGUGAACGAUGAAUCCCUUCGGGGUGUAAAGUCUUUUAUAUGUGAGCAGUGCUUCUUAUAUUAACAGUAUGGGGAGAGAGAUAUUAGCAUAUGAAUAAGCAACGGCUAACUCCGUG
Molecule: ribosomal RNA, 486 nt
Filed under: uncultured bacterium
Lineage: Bacteria
Description: bacterial SSU rRNA
Rfam family: Bacterial small subunit ribosomal RNA
Source: RNAcentral